Cydia fagiglandana is the source of this 543-nucleotide long non-coding RNA. RefSeq lists it as uncharacterized. NCBI's taxonomy places the organism in Eukaryota, Metazoa, Arthropoda, Insecta, Lepidoptera, Tortricidae. The transcript has 3 exons. The record is from RefSeq and is a predicted model, not a curated record.
GCCGGCGCGCGCACACGCUUGCGUACGCACCCGCGCGACCAAUCACGACACGGUAAAUAAACGAGUGCACAAGUUCGCGAUAAGCGGCCCGCUGCGCUGUCAACACACGAUAGUGAGUUUUUUGUGCGAGCUUAAUUGGGGGUUAGUGCACGUUAAUUAAACUGUGACUUCUGGGUUUUUCUUGAGGAUUGACAGUGUAGAGGACAAAUUUUAAUAAGGUUACUUUAUUUAUUUUUCUGAUCUUGUCUGCAAGAAGUUGCCUACACGCGUAGUCACGCUGUCAUAGUGGGGCUAGAGGUGGGCGAGGCUGCCUUGGCGCCAUGCCGGCAUGCUGCUCCCCGACCAGACGUACGAAGGCGCGGCGCGGGCCCUGGCGCCCGGCGCGCCCGCGGCGCCCGCGCGCCUGCCGGCGCUGCUGCGCGCGCACCGCGUGCGCCCGGACUUCUUCUGCGCCAACCGCCCGCGCCGCCCGGGACAUCCGCGCAAGGCGGUGACGGAGGGUGCGGGCGGCGAGCGGCGGCGGCGCGUACGUCUUUCUGCGAC